Molecule: ribosomal RNA, 496 nt
Filed under: uncultured bacterium
Lineage: Bacteria
Description: partial 16S ribosomal RNA
Rfam family: Bacterial small subunit ribosomal RNA
Source: RNAcentral
GACGAACGCUGGCGGCGUGCCUAAUACAUGCAAGUUGAGCGCUGAAGGUUGGUACUUGUACCAACUGGAUGAGCAGCGAACGGGUGAGUAACGCGUGGGGAAUCUGCCUUUGAGCGGGGGACAACAUUUGGAAACGAAUGCUAAUACCGCAUAAAAACUUUAAACACAAGUUUUAAGUUUGAAAGAUGCAAUUGCAUCACUCAAAGAUGGUCCCGCGUUGUAUUAGCUAGUUGGUGAGGUAAAGGCUCACCAAGGCGAUGAUACAUAGCCGACCUGAGAGGGUGAUCGGCCACAUUGGGACUGAGACACGGCCCAAACUCCUACGGGAGGCAGCAGUAGGGAAUCUUCGGCAAUGGACGAAAGUCUGACCGAGCAACGCCGCGUGAGUGAAGAAGGUUUUCGGAUCGUAAAACUCUGUUGGUAGAGAAGAACGUUGGUGAGAGUGGAAAGCUCAUCAAGUGACGGUAACUACCCAGAAAGGGACGGCUAACUACGU